This 477-nucleotide ribosomal RNA is filed under the name uncultured bacterium. RNAcentral describes it as "partial 16S ribosomal RNA". It matches the Rfam family "Bacterial small subunit ribosomal RNA", at positions 28 to 507 of the family's 1533-position model. The record is from RNAcentral.
GAUGAACGCUGGCGGCGUGCCUAACACAUGCAAGUCGAACGAAGCACCUUACCUGAUUCUUCGGAUGAAAGUUUGGUGACUGAGUGGCGGACGGGUGAGUAACGCGUGGGUAACCUGCCCUGUACAGGGGGAUAACAGCUGGAAACGGCUGCUAAUACCGCAUAAGCGCACGAGGAGACAUCUCCUUGUGUGAACAACUCCGGUGGUACAGGAUGGGCCCGCGUCUGAUUAGCUGGUUGGCAGGGUAACGGCCUACCAAGGCAACGAUCAGUAGCCGGUCUGAGAGGAUGAACGGACACAUUGGAACUGAGACACGGUCCAAACUCCUACGGGAGGCAGCAGUGGGGAAUAUUGCACAAUGGGGGAAACCCUGAUGCAGCAACGCCGCGUGAGUGAAGAAGUAUUUCGGUAUGUAAAGCUAUAUCAGCAGGGAAGAUAAUGACGGUACCUGACUAAGAAGCUCCGGCUAAAUACGUG